This 1446-nucleotide long non-coding RNA is filed under the name Anas platyrhynchos platyrhynchos (common mallard). RNAcentral's name for it is "lncRNA (ENSAPLG00000030997.1)". Lineage: Eukaryota; Metazoa; Chordata; Aves; Anseriformes; Anatidae. The record is from RNAcentral.
GGAAGGAAGGAAGGAAGGAAGGAAGGAAGGAAGGAAGGAAGGAAGGAGAGAAAGAAAGAAAGAAAGAAAGAAAGAAAGAAAGAAAGAAAGAAAGAAAAGGGCAAAUAGAUUUGGAAAUGGAGUUUUUGCACAUCACUAAAUGGAGCUUUGGAGCAAGAACUUGGGGUCAGAUGAGGAAUCAGAUACAUUGGGCAAUGUUGGGGGGGAGAAGCAGGGUAGGAUUUGGCAAAGGACAGCAUGAGGUAUGACCUACUAAGAGAUAUGGAGCCAGAACAAAGGUUUGAACCAUUUUUGAGGUAGCAGUAGAAGAGAAUAGACACAGCCAGUGUCUGUGAGGAUCAUAACUGCAUCUGUAAGGGAAAACAUUAUAUUUAAAUCUAAACAGUCUGAGUUUGUUAUCUUUGCAAAAUAAACAUUCUCAUGCAUUUGACUUUUUUCCAUGCUUACAAAGUGCACUGGAUGUUGGACGAAAAACAGAGUGAGAUCUAGAGGCAGUUUGCACGCAAAACAGUUAGUAGCAAGAAUUCCUAGCUGAGGGUGUCCUGUCACAUACAGUUAGUAAAAUAUUGAAUGAAUUUGGAUCAGAGUGAGUGCUGACCUUUCAUGUCAUUCCUUUGAGUGCCAGAAGUCCUCCAGAUCUGAGGCGGGGUCUGUAGAUGGAUGAUUGGCUGGUAAAAGGCACAUUUUUUUUGCUUUGCAGUAAGACAAGUAACUUCUGCACUUGUACAUCCUGUAUGCUCCUACUGACCUGUUUUGUGGAUGUUUAGUUUGUAAAAAGGACAGAGUUCUUGCAGUGUGUCUGUGGAAGAAGAUGCAUCAUCUGUUUAAAACCUCUUGAGCAAAACAACUAUGUCUCCUGGUGCUGGUUGUGCAUUCCAGGGUGUCCUCGUCUGCCCUUUCCAUGACAACCUCAAAUGCAAGGGUGGAGGAAAUGAGUGAGAAAAGGAAAAGAAAGAGAUGACACAAAUCCAAACUAAAAAUCUAUGGAAUUGGUCACACUGGUGUAAGCAGAGCCUGCUGGUUAUGGAGCCUGUGAUGCCCAUUGCCUUUGGUGUGCUGCACAGUCCCAAAGCAAGGGCAGCCACUGGGGGGGGUUCUCAAACCGUUUCACUUCCAAAAGGAAAAGAAGCUGGCAGGCAUUCAUAUUUCAGUCCUCAAGUUAUGUAUGUUAAAGUCUCCCAGUGGGAAAAUGGAAGAUAUAAGAGAGCAGAGAGCUGGUGGAGAUACUUGUUAAGCGAAAACAGAAGAAAGAAGCACGUAACCCUAGAGCUACAUCCAGACAAAUUAGAGGUUUCAGAGGUAAUUUGCUGUGGAAGGAGUCCAGGGCUGCCAUCUUCAGCGUCUCACAUACCCUCUAUUCCAGGGGUGUCUUUCCAUGGAAUAUUUGUCUCCUCUGUAAAAAAAUUCAUCUCUUUUCUGUGGAUGGAGGAAUUUGCCACACCAUAG